GAGUUUGAUCGUGGCUCAGGAUGAACGCUGGCGGCGUGCCUAAUACAUGCAAGUCGAGCGAACAGACGAGGAGCUUGCUCCUCUGACGUUAGCGGCGGACGGGUGAGUAACACGUGGAUAACCUACCUAUAAGACUGGGAUAACUUCGGGAAACCGGAGCUAAUACCGGAUAAUAUAUUGAACCGCAUGGUUCAAUAGUGAAAGACGGUUUUGCUGUCACUUAUAGAUGGAUCCGCGCCGCAUUAGCUAGUUGGUAAAGUAACGGCUUACCAAGGCAACGAUGCGUAGCCGACCUGAGAGGGUGAUCGGCCACACUGGAACUGAGACACGGUCCAGACUCCUACGGGAGGCAGCAGUAGGGAAUCUUCCGCAAUGGGCGAAAGCCUGACGGAGCAACGCCGCGUGAGUGAUGAAGGUCUUCGGAUCGUAAAACUCUGUUAUUAGGGAAGAACAAAUGUGUAAGUAACUAUGCACGUCUUGACGGUACCUAAUCAGAAAGCCACGGCUAACUACGUGCCAGCCCG
RNAcentral lists this ribosomal RNA (524 nucleotides) under uncultured microorganism. Its description in RNAcentral is "bacterial SSU rRNA". It matches the Rfam family "Bacterial small subunit ribosomal RNA", at positions 9 to 517 of the family's 1533-position model. The record is from RNAcentral.